UACGAAGGGGGCUAGCGUUGUUCGGAAUCACUGGGCGUAAAGCGCACGUAGGCGGAUCGCUAAGUCAGGGGUGAAAGCCCGAGGCUCAACCUCGGAAUUGCCUUUGAUACUGGCGAUCUUGAGUUCGGGAGAGGUGAGUGGAACUCCGAGUGUAGAGGUGAAAUUCGUAGAUAUUCGGAAGAACACCAGUGGCGAAGGCGGCUCACUGGCCCGAUACUGACGCUGAGGUGCGAAAGCGUCGGGAGCAAACAGG
This 253-nucleotide ribosomal RNA is filed under the name uncultured bacterium. RNAcentral describes it as "partial 16S ribosomal RNA". It matches the Rfam family "Bacterial small subunit ribosomal RNA", at positions 524 to 776 of the family's 1533-position model. The record is from RNAcentral.